UUUUUUUUUUUUUUUUAGGAAAAACAAUUUUUUAAAUUAACAGACUUUGUACUUUAGAGCAGUCUGAGAUUUACAGAAUCUUAUAGAGCAGAGUUCCCACAUGUUCGGGCCAUGGGGCUCAGAGUUCAGGCUGGUGCCCCAUACAAGGUAAAGAUGGCUGAGGAUGUCCGAAAGGGUCAGGUCCACAGGAAGCUGCCCCUCAACAUUUCCAUUUGAGAGGACAGCACACAAGCAAGCAAGAGAAGUUGUGGUUAAUGAGUGUGCCAGAAAGGAGAUGACCAGGAUGGUGUGGUGGAGACUAAGACGAGACACCUGCUUUGACUGGGUGUUCAGGAGCAAAAUUUUUACACAUUGCUGUUCAUGGCCGUGUUUUAUUAGUAAUGCUGAAAAGUGAGAAACAACCUCAAGGUUCAAAUAUAGCAGUGUGGUUCAUUAACCUCAAUAGCCAAUGGAUGAAAUAGUAUGUGGCCACCAAAAACAAUAUAAAGACCAUGUAACAAAUGGGGAAACGCUUACAAUAUAAUUUCAAGGAAUAAAACCACAACAGAAGAUAAAAUUGUACUUUCAUGUAUUAACCUGGAACAUAUAAAAAUAUACAUACAUUAGAAAGAAACACAUCACAUUAGUGGGGUUUGUCUUUUGCAGCUAAAGGGAUGGAAGUGCAUUUCUUUAACAAAUACAAAUCCUUAUGUAGUAAGUGAGAAGUUUAAAACAAAGAAAUGACCUGAAAGUUCAAAUCAAUCCAUACGUCAAUUGGAGGUUAUGAUUAAAUGGUCAGUAUUUAAACCAGUGUUACUGUCUUUGACAUUCAGCAAUUUCUGAUCACUCAGUACAAACUAGCUUAGAAAUGACUUCAGGAUAAUUUGCAUGUAUAUUCAUAUGUAUACCAUACAUCUAUAUUCAUAUAUACAUACGAGUGUAUUCACACAUGGUUAGUAUGUAUACAAACAUACACACACACACAGAGAUACCCAUAUAUGUGUGUGUAUAUGUGUGUGUGUGUGUGUGUGUAUAUUACAUAAUAUAUAUAUAUAUAUUUCCAUCAGGAUUUUCUUCCCCAAGGAAAAAUUACAAUCUUGUUUGGCCAAAAAAAAAAAGAAAAAAAAAUCCCUGAAGGUGGGCCCCACAUGGUCUUAUAAAAACAGAUGGCCAGUUGGGAUUUAUGAAUACAUGAUAGAGAGGAAUAAUUUUACACAUGACAUGUUCCUGGCAAAGUGUUAGCCAUACAUGUUCAAAAUUAUUUUUUAAUUAAUUUCAAUAGUUUAAAAAAAAAAGUCAUUGAGUAAAUCCCCUGCCUCUAAGCAUUUUUACUUAAAUAGAUCCAUUUGUUUUUUAACUGACUCAAUAGAAAUUCAUAGGCCAAAAAUAUGAGGUCUGAGCGAGUAGCCUUGGCCUCAGACCAUAAACCUGGCUGCUCGGAGCGCUAAUCCAGGCCCGGUUUUAAACUCUCCCUGUGGUCCUGGGUGAGCUACUCAGGUCUGGCUUUCCAGUUCUUUGCAGAGAGUUAAAAUCACCAUGCAUUCCGCAAGGUGGGUCCUUGGCUACGGGGCUGGGACUGGCCAUAGGGUGAGGCUGCAAACAUCACGUGGGCACAGAGAACCAGCUAAGCACUCUGGGGAGUGCCUGAGGCCACUGGUCUGCCAGCCCCUCCCCAGCCUCAGACUCCCCAUCAGAAGAACAGACAUAACAAAGCACCCCUCAUCAAGGCUGACCAAGAUAAAGCCCUCAAGUGCCCCAGGUCUGCCCCCAGACUGGAUGCCACACUGUGGUGUUUACUCCUCUCAGGCCCUUUAUAAUAACCGACUCCCCAGGCAACUCCCCAUUAUGUUUUUCCCUUCAGCAAAGGCUGUACUGAGCAUUUACUAGGUACCAGGCACUUCCCCAGACAAUCAACUACUAUGUUAUUUUCCACUGAGACAGUCAGCAGAACUGGGAUUUCUGCACAGGCAGCUGGACCCUAAGUCCACAAGCUCGACCCCUCCCCUCUGUGCUACACGUGAAUGGGCAGGAACAGAGAUGUGGAUACCAAGUAGGAUCCGAGAUCCAAAGGAACCCAUACAGCUGCCCUCCCCCUGCCCUCUCCCACCAGGCCCAGACUCAGAGGCCACCAUUUUCAGGCUGUGUGGUCCUGGGUGGGUUACUGGACAUCUAUGUUCCUUCUUUUCCUCAGUUUCAAGAUAACAACAGCAUUUAAUUAUAUGAAGUGAAAGAAAGUACCUAGAGUGUUCACAGUGACAGGUCAGAAACUGAGAUGCAGAGAUGCUGCACAAUUUGCUCACGAUCCACAAGCAAGCAAGCUCCCACCCCUCACCACCUGCAGGGGGCGCUGGGCAAUGAAGACACAGGGUCACCGGGUUUAACUUAGACCUGUGGUUGGCAAACCUUUUUCACAAAGGACCAGGUAAUAAAUACCUUUGGCUCUUGACCCAUACAGUCCCUGCUGCCACUACUCCACUCUGUCACAGACAACCAUCAGUGAAUGGGUGUGGCUGUGUUCCAAUAAAAUUUUAUUUACACAAAGAGGCCCUGGCCCUCAGUUGUAGUUUGCAGACCCCUGCCGCAGAUGGGGAUGAGUCAGAGUUCUGGUAGGAAGGAUGCAGAGAGGGACAGAUGCAGAAUGUGCCACAAUCGCUAAGCUAAAUCUAUGCAGCAAGAGCUGUCAAGUGCAGCAGAAAUGAAGGGCUGGGAAACUGUCAAACGGAGAAAGAGCUCUGACCCAAGUUUUUGGUGUUUCUAGAAGAGGCCCUCCUGCCUUGCAGCUCUCAGGAGUGUCCCACAGACCCCAGCUCCAGGUCUGCUCUCUGGGGUAGAGACUCAGCUGGUUUCUAACAUGGAUGUGGAUGGCUGGGUGGGGGGAUGCCACUCCUUUCUAGCUGGAGUCUCCCACUGAGGGCCUCCUGGGCCAGUUUACACCUGUGGCACAGAUAUGAGUCCAAAUCCCCACGCUCCUUCGGAUGCAGGGCCUUUGCACAUGCUGUUCCCUCUGCCUGCAACAUCCCUGCCCACCUACUUUCCACCUGGCCAACUCCUUCCUCCUCCAGGCCUCAGCAGAAGCACCAGUUCCCAGGGACAACUUUCCCCAGCCAGACACCACCCCCUUCUGGCUUGGGGCCCCCAUAUGCAAAGUCCCAUGCACUUGCACCUCCUCUUGUAACUGUAACCACACAUAUUGUGGCUCUACAAUAUUUACUUGUCUCCCCCACUGGACUGGGUGGAGUACUGGGCGAGGAUGGACCGCACUGGUCUUAUUCUCCAUGCUUUCCUCAGUUCCUAGCUCAGGAUCUGACUCAAACAUUUGUUGAAGAAAUUAAUAAACAGAAAGAAAACUAAAUGUGCAAAUAGAAAUCUCUCCUUCCAAGUAAGAUGUUAAACUCAGUGGCAUUACGUCACUGAAAUGAGUAUGUUUUAAUUCUUUUUUCCCUCUUCUAACAUUUUCCCACUUUCUUGCUUUCCAAAUUUAUAAACUGGGGUAAAGUGAGUUCACAUAAAGGACUAAGCUCUGUGUUAAAAAGUGCUUCACUGACUGAUGUAUUUCAUUAGCAUUGAAAACAGUGCAGUUAUAUUAUAUGUUUCAUACAAACUACUAAUCCACAUGUGUGCAAAUUUGCCUCUAAGGACAACUUAGUAUUUUUAUGAUUUGCUUUCAAUAUUUCCCCAUUGUUCCAAUGUAAUAUUUUUUGCUAUUAAAAUUCAUAAUAAACUUCUGGAGGGGAAAAAAAAACAGGGUCACUCCAAGCAAGUAAA
Molecule: long non-coding RNA, 3744 nt
Filed under: Canis lupus familiaris (dog)
Lineage: Eukaryota; Metazoa; Chordata; Mammalia; Carnivora; Canidae
Description: lncRNA (ENSCAFG00000050823.1)
Source: RNAcentral